AAAUGUUAAUAAAUAGAGUUUAAUCCAGUCACAAUGUCUCUGUGUCGUCUUGGUUUAAUCUUUAACCCAGAAUAGAACCGAGCAGAAUCCAUCCUGGUAUUCAGACUAACCAGUAACCAUGACAACAUACUGGCGGGAGCUCCAGGCUGCAGUGUGUACGUCUGGCCACAGGGUGGCGCUGAGGAGAGAGAGAAUGUACUACAUUAUAAACUGGUUGGUUCGAGUGCUGAUUGGCUGAAUGCCAUAGUAUAUCAGACAGUAUACCACAGGUAUGACAAGACAUUUGAUUUUUUUACUGCUCUAAUUACAUUGGUAACCAGUUUAUCAUAGCAACAAGGCACCUCAGGGGUUUGUGGUAUAUGACCAAUAUACCACGGCUAAGGGCUGUGACCAGGCACUCCGCGUUGUGUCGUGCUUAAGAUCAGUCUUUGGUAUAUUGGCCAUAUGCCACCUCCCCUCUGGCCUUAAUGCUUAAAUAUGCAGUUAUAUAUGGUCUCUAUGGAAACAAGGGCCCUUAUACAGCCUACUGUAGGUAGUCUACCUUGGUAGUUAUAUAUGGUCUCUAUGGAAACAAGAGCCCUUAUACAGCCUACUGUAGGUAGUCUACCUUGGUAGUUAUAUAUGGUCUCUAUGGAAACAAGGGUCCUUAUACAGCCUACUGUAGGUAGUCUACCUUGGUAGUUAUAUAUGGUCUCUAUGGAAACAAGAGCCCUUAUACAGCCUACUGUAGGUAGUCUACCUUGGUAGUUAUAUAUGGUCUCUAUGGAAACAAGAGCCCUUAUACAGCCUACUGUAGGUAGUCUACCUUGGUAGUUAUAUAUGGUCUCUAUGGAAACAAGGGCC
Molecule: long non-coding RNA, 843 nt
Organism: Oncorhynchus tshawytscha (Chinook salmon)
Lineage: Eukaryota; Metazoa; Chordata; Actinopteri; Salmoniformes; Salmonidae
Source: Ensembl